GACGAACGCUGGCGGCGUGCCUAAUACAUGCAAGUAGAACGCUGAAACUUGGUGCUUGCACCGAGCGGAUGAGUUGCGAACGGGUGAGUAACGCGUAGGUAACCUGCCUGGUAGCGGGGGAUAACUAUUGAAACGAUAGCUAAUACCGCAUAAGAGUAGAUGUUGCAUGACAUUUGCUUAAAAGGUGCAAUUGCACCACUACCAGAUGGACCUGCGUUGUAUUAGCUAGUUGGUGGGGUAACGGCUCACCAAGGCGACGAUACAUAGCCGACCUGAGAGGGUGAUCGGCCACACUGGGACUGAGACACGGCCCAGACUCCUACGGGAGGCAGCAGUAGGGAAUCUUCGGCAAUGGACGGAAGUCUGACCGAGCAACGCCGCGUGAGUGAAGAAGGUUUUCGGAUCGUAAAGCUCUGUUGUAAGAGAAGAACGAGUGUGAGAGUGGAAAGUUCACACUGUGACGGUAUCUUACCAGAAAGGGACGGCUAACUACGUG
This 496-nucleotide ribosomal RNA is filed under the name uncultured bacterium. RNAcentral describes it as "partial 16S ribosomal RNA". It matches the Rfam family "Bacterial small subunit ribosomal RNA", at positions 28 to 507 of the family's 1533-position model. The record is from RNAcentral.